UGGGGAAUAUUGCACAAUGGAGGGAACUCUGAUGCAGCGACGCCGCGUGAGUGAUGAAGGACUUCGUUUCGUAAAACUCUGUUCUAUGGGAAGAAAAGGACUGUACCAUAGGAGAAAGCUCCGGCUAAAUACGUGCCAGCAGCCGCGGUAAUACGUAUGGAGCGAGCGUUGUCCGGAAUUAUUGGGCGUAAAGGGUGCGCAGGCGGCUUUACAAGUUGGAUGUGAAAUAUUGUGGCUCAACCACAAACGUGCAUCCAAAACUGCAAAGCUUGAGUUAAGGAGAGGUAAGUGGAAUUCCGGGUGUAGCGGUGGAAUGCGUAGAUAUCAGGAGGAAUACCGGUGGCGAAGGCGACUUACUGGACUUAUACUGACGCUCAGGCACGAAAGCGUGGGGAGCAAACAGG
RNAcentral lists this ribosomal RNA (404 nucleotides) under Fusobacteriota bacterium. RNAcentral describes it as "Fusobacteria bacterium partial 16S ribosomal RNA". It matches the Rfam family "Bacterial small subunit ribosomal RNA", at positions 355 to 776 of the family's 1533-position model. Lineage: Bacteria; Fusobacteriati; Fusobacteriota. The record is from RNAcentral.